GCGGUCGUGGUGGAACUGGUAGACACGCUACUUUGAGGGGGUAGUGGGCUUAGCCUGUGUCAGUUCGAUUCUGACCGACCGCA
Molecule: transfer RNA, 83 nt
Filed under: Fibrobacter sp.
Lineage: Bacteria; Pseudomonadati; Fibrobacterota; Fibrobacteria; Fibrobacterales; Fibrobacteraceae
Description: tRNA-Leu
Rfam family: tRNA
About the family: Transfer RNA (tRNA) molecules are approximately 80 nucleotides in length. Their secondary structure includes four short double-helical elements and three loops (D, anti-codon, and T loops).
Source: RNAcentral